Molecule: ribosomal RNA, 497 nt
Filed under: uncultured bacterium
Lineage: Bacteria
Description: partial 16S ribosomal RNA
Rfam family: Bacterial small subunit ribosomal RNA
Source: RNAcentral
GAUGAACGCUGGCGGCGUGCCUAAUACAUGCAAGUCGAGCGAACAGACGAGGAGCUUGCUCCUCUGACGUUAGCGGCGGACGGGUGAGUAACACGUGGAUAACCUACCUAUAAGACUGGGAUAACUUCGGGAAACCGGAUCUAAUACCGGAUAAUAUAUUGAACCGCAUGGUUCAAUAGUUAAAGACGGUUUUGCUGUCACUUAUAGAUGGAUCCGGGCCGCGUUAUCUAGUUGGUAAGGUAAAGGCUUACCAAGGCAACGAUGCGUAGCCGACCGGAGAGGAGGAUCAGCCACACGGGAACUGAGACACGGUCCAGACUCAUACGGGAGGCAGCAGAGGGGAAGAGUGGACAAUGGGCGCAAGCCUGAUCCAGCCAUACCGCGUGGGUGAAGAAGGCCUUCGGGUUGUAAAGCCCUUGUGUUGGGAAAGAAAAGCAGCAGGUUAAUACCCCGCUGUUCUGACGGUACCCAAAGAAUAAGCACCGGCUAACUUCGUG